AAGCAGCAGGCGCACCACGCAAACGGAGGGCGCCCUUACUCCCAGCAAAUGGGCGAUAGAAAACCGAUCGAUGCCUGUGCCAUUCCCAAUAUGCGCUGGCUGCCGUAGGGGCAGCAUGAGUACGAGCGUUUUUUUUCUUUUUUUGCCGAUGCCCGUGAUGCCGCCCCCCAUCACGAUGCCGCCCCGGGCAACCGCCCGUGUCGCCCGUAUCUAAAACCGCUACUGGUGGCAUCACUGUAGUUGUCAGAAGAAACCAGUUAAAGGCUGCCUUCCUAAGUACCUCCAGUGAACUAGUGCAGCCCUACAUGGAAGUACCAGGCAUUAGACACAUGCUUGACGCGUUACAGAAACAUUUCGAAUGCUGUGGAAUAGGGAGUGUUGAGGACUGGGGCAACAAAAUCCCAAAUUCCUGUGAAUGCACAUCAGAUGCAACUAAUUGCAAACACAGACCUCAGGGAAAAGGAGGUCCAGAGAAAAUCUAUGCAAAGGCUUGUGGGGAGCGUGUUUUUGGGUUCUUGGACUACAUCUUCAGGAUGAUUAUAAACUUCUUCUUUGCAUUUGUUGUUACAGCACUGCUGGCCCUGCUCAUGACCAUCUGCAUGAUCCGUCAGGUCAAAUGUAACAAUGCUGAUGAAUCCAUUGCCAUGGAAGACAAAUGAAAGGAACUACCACACAUGCAGGUCCUCUUACCUUUAACCAUUUCACUAGGUUUGAGCAUAAAAAGAGGACUCGGUGGUCGGGAUGUGACCUCUUUUUAUUCACUUGAAAAAAAAAACGUUAUUUGUGCCUUGAGCGAAAGAGAAGCAGGAGACAAAUGUUGAGGUUGAGGUUGUGGUGUGAUGCAGGAUUACAACACGUAGAGUUUUUCUCCCAGCUGUACAAAGCAUAGCUUAAAAAGCAAAAUGUUUUUUUGUGUGUGUUAUUUGAUACUAUGCUGUAUUCUGGUCCUCUUAUAUGGGGCAUAUUGUAGAAAAGAAGCAGCUUUGUUUGUCUUAGGAGUGUGGAGUAGUUGAAAAUAAAUGAAAACUACUAAAGUUCAUUCAAGAACCACUCAGUUGGCUGGUUUUAAGAACUUCAAAUACUGAUCAUAACGUAAUCUGUUUAAUAUAAAAUGCUUAUUGGCCCAAAAUGAUGAAUAAGAAUAAGAGUAACAAAAUAUCAUGGUGAUUCUAAAAAAAAAAGCCUAACUAAGAGACUGGGUAGAGAAUGGAGUAAAUUGUGAUUGGCUGGUUUAAAAGGGAUUAUGCCUAAACCAAUGUUCUUCUUCAGAAGGGGCUAAAGGCAAAUCUAACUGAGGUAAAAUAGCAAAAAAGGAAAAUGUGAAACAAAAUAACCUUAGUAACCUUACUUAAAAGUGAGUGAAAGAUUGAUGAUAGAGAGGAUGAUAGGGAGUGGCUAUAUAUCAGUGGAUUUUAUGCAAACACAGUGAUUGGACAUCUAAGGUUAGGAGAUGGAGACGAGUGGACACAUGACAGAGCAUAAAUCGGAAAACCUGUAGAUGUUCUGGGUUUCUUCCUGGCAGUUCUUCAGGAUGAACAGUCCAGAAGAUCAGAUCUCAGAAGUCCAUCAUUGGAAAUUCCAGCAGAGAGACGUUAAGAGGGAUCAAACCACCACUCAAAUUAACACAAAGCAAUGGGAGAAGAUACAUCUUCAGGCAUGGAUUUGCCCGUUCCUCCUCUAACCUCCCUCCUCCUAAAGAUGAGAACAAAAUCAUUGUUAGCUCAGAGCAGGCUAAUUAGACACACAUGAUUCAGGUGAAAUGACGAUUAUUAUUUUGGUAAUUAUUAAUCAUAAUUUUUCCUUUGCUUUGCUCUUAACCAAAUUGCUUUAAUAAAACUUCCUUCCA
Oreochromis aureus is the source of this 1846-nucleotide long non-coding RNA. The record is from Ensembl. Lineage: Eukaryota; Metazoa; Chordata; Actinopteri; Cichliformes; Cichlidae.